UGUCUCAGUAUAAGCUUCUAUACGGCGAAACUGCGAAUGGCUCAUUAAAACAGUUAUAGUUUAUUUGGUGGUCAGCAAUUACAUGGAUAACCGUGGUAAUUCUAGAGCUAAUACAUGCGUCCAAACCCGACUUCGUGGAAGGGUUGUGUUUAUUAGAUACAGAACCAACCCAGGCUCCGCCUGGCCUUGAGGUGAUUCAUAAUAACCGAACGAAUCGCAUGGCUAUGCCGGCGAUAGACCAUUCAAGUUUCUGACCUAUCAGCUAUCGUCGGUAGGGUAUUGGCCUACCGUGGCAAUGACGGGUAACGGAGAAUUAGGGUUCGAUUCCGGAGAGGGAGCCUGAGAAACGGCUACCACAUCUAAGGAAGGCAGCAGGCGCGCAAAUUACCCAAUCCUGACGCAGGGAGGUAGUGACAAGAAAUAACAAUACAGGGCAUACAUGUCUUGUAAUUGGAAUGAGUAAACUUUAAAUCACUUUACGAGUAUCAAUUGGAGGG
RNAcentral lists this ribosomal RNA (497 nucleotides) under uncultured eukaryote. RNAcentral's name for it is "SSU rRNA". It matches the Rfam family "Eukaryotic small subunit ribosomal RNA", at positions 56 to 555 of the family's 1831-position model. The record is from RNAcentral.